CAGCACUCAGCUGUUGCUGCUGCUGCCUGGCCUUUUCCUGCUGCCUGCUCUGGAGCACCAACCCCAGCAGGAUGAGCACUGCUGCGCCAGUGGAGACUAACAGAGACACUGUGGUGGCGAUGGAAGUGGACAUGGUGCUGAAUGAGGAAGAGAUGAUGGAGGUGGACGUGGAAGACCAGGUUGAGGAGAUGGAAGUUGAUGAGGAGGAUGACAUCGAGGCGAUGGAAGUGGAUGAGAAGGAUGAGGAGGAGCCCAUGGUCCUUGGAUGAAGAUGGAGCCCCACAAGACUGAUGCAGAUGAUGGCUGUAGAUAUUACGGCGGUGUAUAUAUGUUUGAAAAGUUAGGAUAUUUUUGUAAAUAUGUUCUUAGGUUAGUAGUUCUUUGUAAAUAUGUUUUGAAGAUUGUUACUCCAUAGGAUCCCAUGGAAAUAUGUGCAGUAGAUUGUUGUUGUUGUU
This is a long non-coding RNA of Passer domesticus (house sparrow), 455 nucleotides long. RefSeq lists it as uncharacterized. Lineage: Eukaryota; Metazoa; Chordata; Aves; Passeriformes; Passeridae. The record is from RefSeq and is a predicted model, not a curated record. The transcript has 3 exons.